RNAcentral lists this ribosomal RNA (413 nucleotides) under uncultured bacterium. RNAcentral's name for it is "bacterial SSU rRNA". It matches the Rfam family "Bacterial small subunit ribosomal RNA", at positions 917 to 1333 of the family's 1533-position model. The record is from RNAcentral.
GGGCCCGCACAAGCGGUGGAGCAUGUGGUUUAAUUCGAUGAUACGCGAGGAACCUUACCAGGACUUAAAUGUAAGUUGCAUGAUUCAGAAAUGAAUCUUUCUUCGGACUACUUACAAGGUGCUGCAUGGUUGUCGUCAGCUCGUGCCGUGAGGUGUCAGGUUAAGUCCUAUAACGAGCGCAACCCCUAUCGUUAGUUGCCAUCAAGUAAAGUUGGGAACUCUAGCGAAACUGCCGGUGCAAACCGAGAGGAAGGUGGGGAUGACGUCAAAUCAUCACGGCCCUUACGUUCUGGGCUACACACGUGCUACAAUGGUGGUGACAGUGGGCAGCAAUACUGCAAAGUAAAGCUAAUCCCAAAAAACCAUCUCAGUUCGGAUUGGACUCUGCAACUCGAGUCCAUGAAGUUGGAAUC